UGCCGCCAGAGUAAAGCUUUCUACCCUUUACUCCCUGCAAAGAAACAAGAGUGCUUAUCCCAGCUAAGCUCCAGGGUUAAAACUCUAUGCUGGUCAUUCCCUUCAGGAUUUGGCACUCACCAACAUACCCUUCUUUCAAGUGAAAAGGCAUCUCUUUUAAUGGUCCUGACCUUUGGAAUAGGAAGCAUGUACCCUGGACAGAGCACUUCAAACUAGAGGAACCAUAAAUCCAUGGCUAACCUUGACAAAUACACUGAAACAUUCAAGAUGGGUAGCAACAGUACCAGCACUGCUGAGAUUUACUGUAAUGUCACUAAUGUGAAAUUUCAAUACUCCCUCUAUGCAACCACCUAUAUCCUCAUAUUCAUUCCUGGUCUUCUGGCUAACAGUGCAGCCUUGUGGGUUCUGUGCCGCUUCAUCAGCAAGAAAAAUAAAGCCAUCAUUUUCAUGAUCAACCUCUCUGUGGCUGACCUUGCUCAUGUAUUAUCUUUACCCCUCCGGAUUUACUAUUACAUCAGCCACCACUGGCCUUUCCAGAGAGCCCUUUGCCUGCUCUGCUUCUACCUGAAGUAUCUCAACAUGUAUGCCAGCAUUUGUUUCCUGACGUGCAUCAGUCUUCAAAGGUGCUUUUUUCUCCUCAAGCCCUUCAGGGCCAGAGACUGGAAGCGUAGGUACGAUGUGGGCAUCAGUGCUGCCAUCUGGAUCAUUGUGGGGACUGCCUGUUUGCCAUUUCCCAUCCUGAGAAGCACAGACUUAAACAACAACAAGUCCUGCUUUGCUGAUCUUGGAUA
Molecule: small RNA, 791 nt
Filed under: Pan troglodytes (chimpanzee)
Lineage: Eukaryota; Metazoa; Chordata; Mammalia; Primates; Hominidae
Description: processed transcript
Source: RNAcentral